Symphalangus syndactylus (siamang) is the source of this 11343-nucleotide long non-coding RNA. RefSeq lists it as uncharacterized. The record is from RefSeq and is a predicted model, not a curated record. NCBI's taxonomy places the organism in Eukaryota, Metazoa, Chordata, Mammalia, Primates, Hylobatidae.
GCCCAGGCCAAUGAGGAAGCUUUUAAAAAAUAAUUUGUCAUUUUUUAUCUUAGCAGAUCACCCUCAUGGCGCAGAGGAAUGGGAAAAAGCUGAUGCCUUGGAAUGGGCCCCUUGGGCUCCUGUCUUCCUCAGAACCGUGCCCUCUCAGCUGUUUCCUGUUACCUGGUACCCGGUUCCAGGUAAACAGACUCCUUCAUGUCUGUGACCUCCACCAACAAGAAUCCUCUACCUCACAUCUGACCAAACCUGGCUGGUCCCUAAGAACCCUGCUGUGGGAUAGAUUCUCCCUCCACAUGUUCCUGAGGGCUCUGGUCCUCUUUGCUAUUGCAGCCUUUGGCGUGCUCCUCUUCUGUUAUCUUCUGCCCUGUUGAAGUUCAUGUUUCUCAACUGCUACCCUCAACCUCCCUCCUUCAGCUUCUUGGAGGUUCCCUUAAUUCUCUGACCAUGUCAACUCUGAACUCUUUGUCCUUUUCACCAUCUUAAGUCUUUCUGUCACCUGGACAACUUCAGCCACCCAUGAAGGAUGACCAAUUUGACUCUGGGCUCCCAGUUCCUCUACUUCCUUCUCUCUUUUGGCCUUCACCACCCUUCCAUUUCUGAUGAGCUCUCCCAAAGCCAUAUCCUUGAACUUACCACCUGAAAUCACUCAACUUCUGAAAUUUAAAAAUCAGUUACCCCACUCUUUCACCACAACCUCUUGGCACAUGGCUCUCUCAGUCAGAGCAUUCCCCAUGUGUUCUUAGACCUCACAGAAACAUCUAGUCCCCUGCCUCCUCUGCUUUUCUAAUUUGCCAUCAACUGCACCCCCCCAUCCCCACAAUCUUCUUACUUUUUCUUCUAUCCAGCCUAGACUGUGCCCUAUAAUUUCAAUACUUUAGUUCCUAAGUUAUAUGGUCCACUGUUGCACUCAAUUCUGGAUCAUUCACCUGUUCACCUUCUUUUUUCCAGACCAAAUCAGGACUGCUAGCUUCCAGUGAAAACAGUAAGUGUGACUGCCACAAGCAUGAGUGCCAGAUUUAUAGUCUCCCACCUCAGCCAGGCCUUCAAUGAAGCCAGGUGAUCCUAUGUCUCUCCAGUCGGCUCUCUCUCGUUCUCUAUGGGCACGAUCUCAAACCUUCCUCAUUCCUCACUUUCUGCUCCAUCUCUCUCUUUCUCUCUCACUGUCAACAAAAUAUAUUUGCCCUCUUUCCUAAAGAAAGCAGAAGCAUCACACGAGAAUUCUUCCAACUUUCUGGGAUCAAGCCUGUAAGCUCGCUAUGGGCUCACUCAUUGCUUUCUCUGUCCUGCCUGCUAUAAAGGAGGUUGGGUUCUUCAUCCCAAUUCUGGCCCAUCUCUCCACCAAUAACAUGGAUCUCAGCCCCUCCCUCCUCUUGUGGGGCCUUAUUUCAUCCAUUAUGCCCUCACUCACCUGUAUUUUAAAAACAUCCUUUAAGAGGAAUUUCAAGAACAAUAUCACUGAUGAAUAUUGAUGCGAAAAUCCUCAAGAAAAUACUAGCAAACUGAAUUCAACAACACAUUAAAAAGAUCACUCAUCAUGACCAAAUGGGAUUUAUCCCUGGGAUGCAAGGAUGGUUCAACAUAUGCAAAUCAAUUAAUGUGAUACAUCAUAUCAAUGGAAUAAAGAAUAAAAACCAUAUGAUCAUUAAAAUUGAUGCAGAAAAAGCAUUUGAUAAAGUUCAACAUCUCUUCAUGAUAAAAACCCUCAAAAACCAGGGUAUUGAAGGAACAUACCUCAACAUAAUAAAACUCAUGUAUGACAGACCCACAGCUAGUAUUAUGCUGAGUGGGGGAAAACUGAAAGCCUUUCCUCUUAGAUCUGGAACACGACAAGGAUGUCCACUGUCACCACUGUUAUUCAACAUAGAACUGGAAGUCCUAGCUAGAGCAAUCAGACAAGAGAAAGAAAUAAAGGGCAUUCAAAUUGGAAAGCAAGAAGUCAAAUUAUCCUUGUUUGCAGAUAAUAUGAUUUUAUAUUUGGAAACACCUAACAAUGCCACCAAAAACUAUUAGAACUGAUAAACAAAUUCAGUAAAGUUUCAGGAUACAAAAUUAAUGUACAAAAAUCAGUAGCAUUUUUCUCUGCCAACAGUGAACAAUCUGAAACAGAAAUUGUGAAAGUAAUCCCAUUUACAAUAGCCACAAAUGAAGUAAGACACCUAGGAAUUAACUUAACCAAAUAAUUGAAAGAUUUCUACAAUAAAAUCUAUAAAACACUGAUGUAAGUAAUUGAAGAGGACACAAAAAAUUGAAGUAUAUUCCAUGUUCAUGGAUCAGAAGAGUCAAUAUUGUUAAAAUGUCCAUACUAUCCAAAGCAAUCUACAGAUUUAAUGCAAUUCCUACCAAAAUACCAGUGACAUUCUUCACAGAAAUAGAAAAAACAAUUCUAAAAUUUAUGUGUAGCCACAAAAGACACAGAAUAGCCAAACCUAUUCUAAGAACAAAACUGGAGGAAUCACAUUACCUGACUUCAAAUUAUACUAUAGAAGCCAAAACAGCAUGGUACUGGCAUAAAAACAGACACAUAAACCAAACAGAAUAGAUAAUCCAGUAUCAAAUCCAUACAACUACAGUGAGUUCAUUUUUGACAAAUGUGCUGAGAAUGUACCUUGGGGAAAGGGCAGUCUCUUUGAUAAGUGGUGCUUGGGAAACUAGAUAUCCAUAUGCAGAAGAAUGAAACCAGACCCCCAUCUCUCUCCAUAUACAGAAGUGAAAUCAAAAUAGAUUAGAAACUUAAAUCUAAGACCUCAAACUGUUAAGCUCCUACAAGAAAACAUCAAGGAAACUCUCUAGGAUAUUGGACUGGGCAAAGAUUUCUUGAGUAAUACUUCACAAACACAUGCAACCAAAACAAAACUGGAAAAUGGCAUCACACCAAGUUAAACAGCUUCUGCACAGGAAAGGAAACAGUCAACAAAGUGAAGAGACAAUCCACAGGAUAAAUUUUCAAACUACCCAUCUGACAAGGAAUUAAUAUCCAGAAUAUAUAAGGAGCUCACACAACUCUAUAGGAAAAAAAUCUAAUAAUCCAACUAAAAAAUGGGGAAAAUAUGUGAAUAGACAUUUCUCAAAAGAAGACAUACAAAUGGCAAACAGGUAUAUUAAAAGGUACUCAAUAUCAUUGAUCAUCAGAGAAAUGCAAAUCAAAACUACAGUGAAAUAUCGUCUCACCCCAAUUAAAAUGACUUUUAUCCAAAAAUCAGGCAAUAACAAACUCUGGCGGGGAUGUGGAGAAAAGAAAACCCUUGUACACUGUUGGUGAUAAUGUAAAUUAGUACAAUCACUAUGGAGAACAAUUUGUAGGUUCCUCUAAAAACCAAAAAUAGGCUGGGUGCGGUGGCUCACACCUGUAAUCCCAGCACUUUGGGAGGCUGAGGCGGGUGGAUUGCCUGAGGUCAGGAGUUUGAGAGCAGCCUGGCCAACAUACUGAAACCCCGAUUCUACUAAAAAUACAAAAAAUUAGCUGGGCAUGGUGGCGGGCGCCUGUAAUCUCAGCUACUCAGGAAGCUGAGGCAGGAGAAUCACUUAAACUCGGGAGGCAGAAGUUGCAGUGAGCCAAGAUCGCACCACUGCACUCCAGUCUGGGGGACAAGAGUGAGACUCUGUCUCAAAACAGCAACAACAACAACAACCUAAAAAUAGUGCUACCAUAUGAUCCAACAAUCCUACCCCUAGAUAGAUACUCAAAAGAAAGGAAAUCAGUAUAUUGAAGAAAUCAGUAUAUCUUUACUUCCAUGUUUAUUGCAGCAUUAUUCACGAUAGCCAAGAUUUGGAAGCAACCUAAGCAUCCAUCAACAAACAAAUGGAUAAAGAGAAUGUGGUACAUAUACACCAUAGAAUACUAUUCAGCCAUAAAAAGAAUGAGAUCUUGUCAAUUUGCAACAACGUAGAUAGAACCAGAGGUCGUUAUGUUAAGUGAAAUAAUCCAGGCACAGAAAGACAAACUUCACUUGUUCUCACUUAUUUGUGGGAGCUAAAAAUUAAAACAAUUGAACUCAUAGAGAUAGAGAAUAGAAGGAUAGUUACCAGAGGCUGGGAAGGGUAGUGGCAGGUUGGGGGUGGAAAAUGGGGAUGGUUAAUGGGUACAAAAGGUAAUUAGGAAGAAUAAAUAAGACCUACUAUUUGAAAGCACAACAGAGUGGCUAUAGUCAAAAAUAACUUAAUUGUAUAUUUUAAAAUAACUAAAAGAGUAUAAUUGGACUCUUUGUAACACAAAGGAUAAAUGCUUGAAGUGAUGGAUGCCCCAUUUACCCUAACGUGAUUAUUACACAUUGCAUGCUUAUAUCUAAAUAUCUCAUGUACUCCAUAAAUAGAUAUACCUACUAUAUACCCACAAAAGUUAAAAAAGUUCAAACUUAGAGACAUGAGUAAUCAAAUAAAUGGGAUAUUCUUACCAUCUGCAUCAGUUAAACCUCUUAGUUAUAAACAGGAGAAACCUGCCAUCUACAGAUGGCUUAAGGAGAAAAAGGGUUUAUUAAGGAAAACAUAAUUAGAUAACACAAUCUCCCUAAAGACAGAGAACCACGCUUGGAAGCCAGGGAGGUAGGAACAUGCGCAAAUCAUAUGACCAGCCCACUCCAGGAGAGCACUGACACUGCAAGCCCACUCUACCGGUGGGGCCAGCUUCACAAGCCUGUGGCCUAGCUGCAAAAGAGGCUUGGGAAAAAGUUUCUGGUUCCUACUUUGGGGAGGUAGAAAAUUCCCAAACAAAAGAAUGGUGUUUAAAGGUGCUGAAUAGACAAGAAGAAUGUUGAAUGUCCACUACAGUCCACCCCUUGGCUGUUUAACACCUACUUACACUCUUCUUCCUUACUUAACUUCAAAAUGUAAAUAUCAUCAACCACCACAAACACUUCCAUUUAGCACAAUACAGCUAUCCAUCGCACAAACAAAAUUAAAUUCAUGAUAUUCACCGAAGGGAAGUUCAGCAUCUAUAGAAGAAAGAGGUUCAGACCUCAUUUUGUUCCAUCACGAUCCUGUCUUGAUGUACUGAAACCUGUGGAGGCACUGGCAUGGUAACCAUGAUAACACAUUCUGGGGUAAAAAGUAAGGGAAAUCCAAUGGUGCCUAUUAUUAAGUUAUUAUCUCUUAUCUCCAAAUUCACCAUUGUAUGCCCUCCUGGGCCUAGGACUGUACCACGCUUCCAUGUCAGAUGCUGCCAAUAGGGACAUCACUGGGGGCUGGAGGAGAGAGAGGAGACAUGUUUCUUCCUGUCUGUGUGCUGUUCCGGUCAGUGUCCUCCCAGCAAGUUCUUCAUCCAACAACAGCAUUUGAUUUCGGUCUGUAGUUUUCCCCUCAUUCUUAGAAUGUGCCUUAUCACACCUUCCCCCUGUCCCGCUCAGUGACAACAGCCAGGUAACACACUAGCCUCAGAGCUUUGGGUUCCACCUGCUCAGUGCCGCUUCUCUAAGCUUCUCAAUGUAUUAAUCCCAACCAUUUCGCUUUGUUCCUCCAGCCCUAGAGAGGCAAGGGCUCUGAUUCCUGCCACUGCGAGUACUAUGUUAUCUCAAUGUUCCUUUUUGCUUUUUCAGUCUUCCAACACCAGUUUAAGUAAUUCUCUGCAUUCUCUAGGUUGAACAAAAGCCAGCAUGGUAGUCCUUGUUACUGGUAAGUAAUUGUGACUUCACUCCUCUACCACCUAUUUCAUGUUCCCUUUGUCCUCAGCUGCUCAGAAUUCUUUACUCAGUGGGAGGAAUACAAAUUUUCAUUUCAGAAAGAUCUGAACCAUAGGUGGCCAAGCAUAUGUGAACUUGCAAGGAACAUGGAAGGCGUAGUGAAGCAAGGAAAUAAUGAUUACCAAGUAUGGCCUCAUGACUUGUUCAGAAACAGGGACUAUAGUGCAUUGUUGUGGUUAUGUAUAUAAACUGUAGGGUGGACGUGGGAAGACUAGUUAGGAGGCUUUUACAGUAAUCCAUAGGGAGGGAGAGUAAUGGCCCAGACCAAGGUGGCAACAGUGGAAGUGGUGAAAAGUGAAUGGAUUCUAAACACAUUUUGAAGCCAACAAGAUAUGCUGAUGGAUUAGAUGAAAGGUGUAAAGGGAAGGGGGGAGUCAAAGAUUGUUCCAAGGAUUUGGGCCUGAGCAAUGGGAAGGAUGGAGCUGCCAUCAACUGAGUUGGGGAAGGCAUUAGGUAGAGGAAAUUUGAAGGGAAAGUCAAGAGUUCAUUUGGAUAUAUUGAGAUUGAGAUGCCUGUUAGCCAUCCAAGUGAAAAUGAUUCCUACAGCUUUGCCUUUGGAACAGAUUUGUCACCUCCCGCUAGAAUGAGAAAGCCCUGACGUCAGUCUCUUUGUCUCUCAUUUCAGCAUCUUUAAUGCUCAGCACAGUGCCUGGACCCUGAUCAUUUCAGUAAAUAGCUUUUGAAUUAAUGAAUGAAGGAAUGAGUAAAUGAAUGAAUGAAUAAAAAAAUGAAAAACUUCGGGGGUUCUCAUAUAGGCCAAAGUUUGUCUUAUCCAGGUUCCAACUCCACCAUUCUUUUCCAGAAAGAACAAGAUAACCAUUUUAUUCUGCACACUGUGGCCAAUAUUCAUUGGAAACCUGUCUUAUUAGUUUACUAAUUGUAGAUGAAAUCUUUCUCCCUUGAAGUGGAGAAAUCCCUCAGAGAGACAAGAGCCUUCCUCCCUCCUGUUAUAGGCAUGUCUCAGCCUGGAUUCAGCUGGAGACUUGUUCCGACUAGAAGAUAGGGCUUUGACAAUGGUCUCAGGUCUGGGAGAGUCUGAGGGCACAGUGUGUGCAGUAGAAUCCUCUUCUUCUCUUCUUCCCUGUUACAUGGGUGUGUUUUUUUGUGUUGUGGCUUCUCAUAGGAAACCUAAGGUGGACCCAGAACAGUUUCCCUUGGAGCUUCUCUCUCUGCCCCAGUUCAAAUCCCAGUAAUUACGGAGUCCCAAUUCAGUACUUCUGAUAGGAAGCAAAAGUAAGGUUCAUCCUCUCCCCAGUGUCCAGUAUAGAACAGGAGGCAUUCAUUUGGACAGUUUCACCCUAAUUCAGCCACAGUUAGGACUCCUGCGUCAGGCUGCCGCUAUAGUGCGCUGCCUGUCUCCCUGCACCCUGACCUCUGGCAUCCCCUCCUUUGAGGAGACUUUCAUAACUCCCAAUUUUGGUUUAUGAGUUGUUGCUAUGCAGGGAGAAACGCAGGAGGUGAAGGUGAAGGUGGGGAGUUGAUUUGCUAUUAACAAACUUCUGUAUCUUGAUUUUAUGUUCAAAAUACGUGAUUACAUGUACUUGAUGGAACUUAACAUUUUUGCUUAUUUGGAAUUGUUUUUUUCUUUCUGCUUUUCUUCACUCAAAUCUGGAAAGCAUAAGGUGCUCACUAAUUAGAGGUAACCAUGGUUACCAAGUUGUCUUCAAAAUACCCCUAAGAGUUCCUUUUUAUUUUUUGAGUUCUUAUUCUACAAAAAGCACUUCACUUGUCAGUCUUCUUUGUUCUCUUUUCAGUUUCAUGGGGUGAUGUUCCAAACCUGGGAGAUUUUUGGUAGCUCUGUUAAAAGUUCAAAAGUAAAAUAAUAAAAUAAACUACCUAUUCUUAGAAAAUAGUCGCAUGCCCAAAAUUAUCUGGUUUUAAAAUUUCAGCUGACUGGGUAGCAACGAGAAAUACACCAGAAUCCUGCAAAUUUCAAUGUGUAUACAGUAGCUUCCCAUUAUCUGCAAUUUUGCUUUCUGUGAUUUCAGUGACCCAUGGUCAACCGUGGUCUGAAGACAUUAAAUGGAGAAUCCAAGAAAUAAACAAUUCAUAAGUUUUAAAUUGAGUACUGUUUUGAGUAGUGUGAUGAAAUCUUGUGCCUGCCUGCUCCGUCCUGCCUGGGAAAUAAAUCCUCCCUUUGUCCAGCAAGAUCCAUGCUGUAUAUGCUAUCCACUCAUUAGUUACUUAGUAGCUGUUUCGGUUAUCAGAUCUAAACAACAUAGGAUAUAUAAGGUUCAGUACCAUCCGCAGUUUCAGACAUCCACCUGCGGUUUUGGAACGUAUCCCCCAUGGAUAAGGGUAAAAUAUUGUACAGCUAAAAUCCUCAGCAGAGGAGCUGGCACCCGGGGGAGUGUUUUCUAAAAUUUCCACUUGAGGGCGCUGUCGUCUUCUGUAAGGGUAGAACUGACGUAUUUUUUUUCCAGUUAGGUUAGUUACUGCAUAUGAAAAACUUCACUGACACCCAGGUUUCGGUUUGCUGCAGUGGUGAUUAGAGGUCUCUUAGAGACUGGCACACUAGGUAGCCACCUGGUUGGCCUCCCCUUCAUUCAGUCAGCUCUGCCAUUCAGCUUUCUUCCAGCCUCUGUACCUUACCUGUCCUAGUUCUUGUUUUAUUGUACUGCCACUCAACUUUUCUGAAUCUCCCACUUGGCUGGGUCUCUGUACCUGCUAAAUCAACACAGUGCCUGGCAUACAGGUGCAUUUCAGUGCAUGCUGGUGAGACAGCGAAGGGCUUGAAACAGUCCACACAAGUUGAUGCAGGAGAGCAGUACAAUCCUUUCUGGAGUGGGACUCAGAAAGAUCAUGCCAGCAGCAGUCCAGGAGCGUUGGGGCAGGUAAGAUGGAAUAAGUGCACUCCAACCAUCAUUUCUGUUGGUCAUAACUCCAGGAGAGAAAGUUUAGAACAGCUAUUUGAGGACAGUGAAAAGAAAACAGCAGAAGGAAUAUUGGUGAAGAACACAGAAUUUGAAGUACAUCAAACCAGUAGCCCUGGGCAAACCCACACCUGCAGGGUCAGCAGUCAGUAACGGGACUGACAGGAGCCAAAACUCUGAACUGUGGUCCCACAGCAGGGCUCACUUCCAAGCCAUACAUGUUUGGAUCUGGUUUUAAUGAGGAUACCAAGACCUUUGAGAACUGAAGUAAUGGAGAGGUCAUCACCUGGUUCCUAGACUGUCUUCUGGGUGGUGCACACCUGAAAUGGAGACAAAAAGCAGUUUGAAAACUGAGUGGAUGUUGACAUCACAGUGCACAGAAGGUGGGUUGGAACUUGCAAACUGAACCUAACCAUGUCCAUCACCUACUGAAACAAAAUAUCAACAUUUUUCAUAAUAUUUAAACAAGAUCCAGAGUCUCACCAAAUAAUACCUAAAUUGUUCAGGAUAAAAUAAAAAAAUACUGAGCAUACAAAGAACCAUAACAAUUUAGGUCACUUUCGCCUUUAUCCCCCUGCUGUGCAUUGCAGGUUCUGUGUCGUUCUCCAACUGCUCCCCAUCCCACCCCAAUUUUCUUUGAAAAAGGCAAUCCACAGACACAAAUGAUGAGAUUUCACAGAUGUUGGAAUUAGAAGACGAAGGCUUUGAAGCAGCUGUUAUAAAGGUGCUCAAAUGAGCAAUUGUGAAUAUUCUUGAAACAAAUGUUAACAUACAAAAUCUUAGUAAGGAAAUAGAAGAUAUAAGCGGAAAUUUGAGAACUUAGAAAUAUCAGAACCAAACCAAGAAAUUCACUGGUGGACUCAUUACCAGAAUGGAAAUGAUAGAAGAAAGAGUCAGUGAACUUAAAAGUAGAUAAAUAGAAAUUAUCCACUGUAAACCGUAGAGACAAAAAAUAGAAUAAAAAAACAGAACAGGCCUCUCUGACAUACGCAACAACAACAAAAGGUCUACGAUUUAUGUCAUCAAGACCCCAGAAAGGGAGAUGAAAGACAGUGAUGCUGAAAAACAUUUAAAUAAUGUUUUAAAAUGUCCCAAGUUUGGUGAAAGAUGUAAACUUACACCUUCAAGACUUGAAUAAACCCCCAACAGGGUAAACACAAAGAAAUCUACAUCCAGACACAUCAUAAUCAAACUACUGAAAGCUAAAGACAAAGCAAAAAUCUUGAAAGUAGCCAGAGAAAAAUGACUCAUUAUCUGUGGGGCACAAUGAUAUGAAUGACUGCAGAUUUCUCAUCAGAAACCAUGAAGGCCAUAGGUAGUGAUACAGCAUUUAUUUAUUUAUUAUUUUUUAAGAAAGGGUCUCACUCUGUUGCCCAGGCUGGAGUGCAGUGGUGCAAACACGGCUCACUAUAGCCUCAACCUCCCAGGCUCAAGUGAUCCUUUUGUCUCAGCACCCCAAGUAGCUGGGACUACAGGCACAGGCACCACCGUGCCCAGCUAAUUUUGGUAUUUUCUGUAGAGACUGGGCUUCACUAUGUUGCCCAGGCUGGUCUCGAACUCCUGAGCUCAAGCAAUCCAUCCACCUUGGCUUCCCAAAGUGCUGGGAUUACAGGUGUGAGCCACCAAUCCAAGCCUGUGAUACAGUAUUUAUAAAGUGCUGAAAGAAAAUAACUGUUAACCUAGAAUUCAAAACCCAGCAAAAAUAUCCUUUAGGGAUGAAGGCAAAAUAAAGACAUUCUCAGAUGAAAGAAAACUAAAAGAAUUCAUAGAAGCAAAUCUGCUCUAAAGGAACUGAUACAGUUCUCCUGAUAGAGGGUAUGGUUCCAUCCUAGCAGCUGAACUUGUGGCCCUUCUGUAUUAUCCCUACCUUGUUGAGCCUAAAGGUUGCCACUCGGUGUAAAGAAUGGACUACCCAUGUGACUGAAUCUAUCAUUUUCUAUUUAUAAGGUAAAUGCAGAGAUUUCAGACUACAAAGUGACCUUCAUAGGCCAAUGGUGUUUCUGGAAACCUGUGAGCAGAAAAAGGACUUCCACUCUGAGGGGUGGCAGCAUAGUCCCUUGGCUGGGGCAACUGGUCUCUUUGGCAAUAACUGCUUAUCAGAGAGGUUCCCAUGGCAUCCAGGCCCUGCAGGGUGCUGUUGAGACCCUGUCAGGUGAGAACAAAAUGGCAGUAGUGUGGCCCAGUCUCCCAUACUGAGGGCGGAAGGCACCAGAAGACAGUAGACACUGGUCCAAAACCUGCAGGUGUGCACAGCAGAUGGAAUACUCCUUUCUGCCAGCAGAGGUGAUAUUUUCAGGGGGCUUCGUGGCUUUAGUGAGAGAGAACCAAGGAACUGGAAAGGAUGGACACUGUGGGUGGCCACACCCACAAACCUCGGCGAUUGGCAAAAUCAUCUGAGGAGAAUUGGAUUGUUUCCUUGGCAAACGAAGUGGUUGAAGAAACUAUUUUUGUGGCUGUUCUUACGAUUCUGUGUCUCACUGUAGACUGGCACAGCCUAGAGAAAAUGCACUAUGGUUGUUAUAAAGACAAUCUACAAAUAUUACAAGUAAUUUGGAGAAGAGAAAGAAAAACACCUGUGAUCCUAUAACCCUAGCAUGACUAUCAUCAUUUUCACAUAAUUUCAUUCAUUGGAAAAUAAACUUAAUAUGAGGUUGAAUGAGCUGAGAGGACCUUUUCACUUUACAUGGGUCACGAUUAUUUUCAAUGUUUCUACAUUGUCCUCAUACUCAUAACUUAAAUAACUGCUUGAUUAAAUGGAUGCACAUUAACUUAACUAAUUCUAUGUACAUUAAUUUCCU